Molecule: transfer RNA, 70 nt
Filed under: bovine gut metagenome
Rfam family: tRNA
About the family: Transfer RNA (tRNA) molecules are approximately 80 nucleotides in length. Their secondary structure includes four short double-helical elements and three loops (D, anti-codon, and T loops).
Source: RNAcentral
AGGUAUAACUCAGUUGGUUAGAGUGCACGUCUGAUACGCGUGAUGUCGUAGGUUCGAAUCCCACUACCUC